Molecule: long non-coding RNA, 239 nt
Filed under: Ricinus communis (castor bean)
Lineage: Eukaryota; Viridiplantae; Streptophyta; Magnoliopsida; Malpighiales; Euphorbiaceae
Description: long non-coding RNA (RCOM_LNC000203)
Source: RNAcentral
UUCCAUAAAGCAAAAACACAAUUUGAUAGAUUGCUAGAAAUGGUAGUGAGUAGUGAAUGGUGAUAGGGACAAGUGCACCUUAUUGGUGGGGGAGGGAAUUGGCCCUUAUUUUAACAGUGCAUGCACACAUUAAGAGCAUGGGGAGAUACUCUGUCAGGACCAAUCCUCUCCAUCUCUUGCUUGCUUGCCAUUUGUUUACCUUCUCAUUCCACUCUUUCCCAUCAUUAUCAUCUUCCUUU